AUACAAUGGCGGCGCGCACUCCAUUUCUUGGGCGUCGUACAUCAAAAAAGGAGGAAAUGCAUAACCGCAGACUCGCGGUGCAGCAGUGUGGAGACCUGUUGUAAUGCAGCGGGCUUGGCGAGAAGGUCCAGAGGAUCCCGAAGAGCGAUUCCGUGCGCACAGCGGGAUGUCAGCAGACGCUUCGCGCCGUGGCCACUGCGAGUGUAUAUUCAGCGGAUGCCGUAUACACAGAGUCGUUUCAAUGGCU
This 247-nucleotide non-coding RNA is filed under the name unclassified sequences. RNAcentral's name for it is "malK-I RNA". It matches the Rfam family "malK-I RNA". The record is from RNAcentral.